This is a long non-coding RNA of Corvus hawaiiensis (hawaiian crow), 245 nucleotides long. RefSeq lists it as uncharacterized. The transcript is spliced from 4 exons. Lineage: Eukaryota; Metazoa; Chordata; Aves; Passeriformes; Corvidae. The record is from RefSeq and is a predicted model, not a curated record.
AAUUAAUUUCCAUUUUUGUUUCCACAACAGAAAUUCACCAGGUGUGAGAAGAGUUUGCAUUAUUGUAAUCAAAUCAUGAGGUAUGAGCAAAUGUGUUGAAAAAGUAGCACUUAAAAGGCUCUUAAAAUAGUUACUAUGCAUCCAAAACUCCUUAAUUGCCUUGCACAAAUCUUUGAUAUUAGAAUAAGGGAAAGGUGUCCAGCCAGGAUUAGCUCCUGUGCUGGCAUGAGAGUAUGUAAAAGCAG